RNAcentral lists this ribosomal RNA (1774 nucleotides) under Escherichia coli. RNAcentral describes it as "partial 23S ribosomal RNA". It matches the Rfam family "Bacterial large subunit ribosomal RNA", at positions 398 to 2157 of the family's 2925-position model. The record is from RNAcentral. Lineage: Bacteria; Pseudomonadati; Pseudomonadota; Gammaproteobacteria; Enterobacterales; Enterobacteriaceae.
UGUGAGCUCGAUGAGUAGGGCGGGACACGUGGUAUCCUGUCUGAAUAUGGGGGGACCAUCCUCCAAGGCUAAAUACUCCUGACUGACCGAUAGUGAACCAGUACCGUGAGGGAAAGGCGAAAAGAACCCCGGCGAGGGGAGUGAAAAAGAACCUGAAACCGUGUACGUACAAGCAGUGGGAGCACGCUUAGGCGUGUGACUGCGUACCUUUUGUAUAAUGGGUCAGCGACUUAUAUUCUGUAGCAAGGUUAACCGAAUAGGGGAGCCGAAGGGAAACCGAGUCUUAACUGGGCGUUAAGUUGCAGGGUAUAGACCCGAAACCCGGUGAUCUAGCCAUGGGCAGGUUGAAGGUUGGGUAACACUAACUGGAGGACCGAACCGACUAAUGUUGAAAAAUUAGCGGAUGACUUGUGGCUGGGGGUGAAAGGCCAAUCAAACCGGGAGAUAGCUGGUUCUCCCCGAAAGCUAUUUAGGUAGCGCCUCGUGAAUUCAUCUCCGGGGGUAGAGCACUGUUUCGGCAAGGGGGUCAUCCCGACUUACCAACCCGAUGCAAACUGCGAAUACCGGAGAAUGUUAUCACGGGAGACACACGGCGGGUGCUAACGUCCGUCGUGAAGAGGGAAACAACCCAGACCGCCAGCUAAGGUCCCAAAGUCAUGGUUAAGUGGGAAACGAUGUGGGAAGGCCCAGACAGCCAGGAUGUUGGCUUAGAAGCAGCCAUCAUUUAAAGAAAGCGUAAUAGCUCACUGGUCGAGUCGGCCUGCGCGGAAGAUGUAACGGGGCUAAACCAUGCACCGAAGCUGCGGCAGCGACGCUUAUGCGUUGUUGGGUAGGGGAGCGUUCUGUAAGCCUGCGAAGGUGUGCUGUGAGGCAUGCUGGAGGUAUCAGAAGUGCGAAUGCUGACAUAAGUAACGAUAAAGCGGGUGAAAAGCCCGCUCGCCGGAAGACCAAGGGUUCCUGUCCAACGUUAAUCGGGGCAGGGUGAGUCGACCCCUAAGGCGAGGCCGAAAGGCGUAGUCGAUGGGAAACAGGUUAAUAUUCCUGUACUUGGUGUUACUGCGAAGGGGGGACGGAGAAGGCUAUGUUGGCCGGGCGACGGUUGUCCCGGUUUAAGCGUGUAGGCUGGUUUUCCAGGCAAAUCCGGAAAAUCAAGGCUGAGGCGUGAUGACGAGGCACUACGGUGCUGAAGCAACAAAUGCCCUGCUUCCAGGAAAAGCCUCUAAGCAUCAGGUAACAUCAAAUCGUACCCCAAACCGACACAGGUGGUCAGGUAGAGAAUACCAAGGCGCUUGAGAGAACUCGGGUGAAGGAACUAGGCAAAAUGGUGCCGUAACUUCGGGAGAAGGCACGCUGAUAUGUAGGUGAAGUCCCUUGCGGAUGGAGCUGAAAUCAGUCGAAGAUACCAGCUGGCUGCAACUGUUUAUUAAAAACACAGCACUGUGCAAACACGAAAGUGGACGUAUACGGUGUGACGCCUGCCCGGUGCCGGAAGGUUAAUUGAUGGGGUCAGCGCAAGCGAAGCUCUUGAUCGAAGCCCCGGUAAACGGCGGCCGUAACUAUAACGGUCCUAAGGUAGCGAAAUUCCUUGUCGGGUAAGUUCCGACCUGCACGAAUGGCGUAAUGAUGGCCAGGCUGUCUCCACCCGAGACUCAGUGAAAUUGAACUCGCUGUGAAGAUGCAGUGUACCCGCGGCAAGACGGAAAGACCCCGUGAACCUUUACUAUAGCUUGACACUGAACAUUGAGCCUUGAUGUGUAGGAUAGGUGGGAGGCUU